CGCGUAGGCGGCCUUCUAAGUCAGACGUGAAAUCCCCAGGCUUAAUUUGGGAACUGCGUCUGAUACUGGGAGGCUUGAGUGCGGGAGAGGGAUGUGGAAUUCCAGGUGUAGCGGUGAAAUGCGUAGAUAUCUGGAGGAACACCGGUGGCGAAGGCGGCAUCCCGGACCGACACUGACGCUGAGGCGCGAAAGCCAGGGAGCAAACG
Molecule: ribosomal RNA, 206 nt
Filed under: uncultured bacterium
Lineage: Bacteria
Description: partial 16S ribosomal RNA
Rfam family: Bacterial small subunit ribosomal RNA
Source: RNAcentral